CGUAACAAGGUUUCCGUAGGUGAACCUGCGGAAGGAUCAUUACCUAGAGUUUGUGGACUUCGGUCUGCUACCUCUUACCCAUGUCUUUUGAGUACCUUCGUUUCCUCGGCGGGUCCGCCCGCCGGUUGGACAACAUUCAAACCCUUCGCAGUUGCAAUCAGCGUCUGAAAAAACUUAAUAGUUACAACUUUCAACAACGGAUCUCUUGGUUCUGGCAUCGAUGAAGAACGCAGCGAAAUGCGAUAAGUAGUGUGAAUUGCAGAAUUCAGUGAAUCAUCGAAUCUUUGAACGCACAUUGCGCCCCUUGGUAUUCCAUGGGGCAUGCCUGUUCGAGCGUCAUUUGUACCUUCAAGCUCUGCUUGGUGUUGGGUGUUUUGUCUCGCCUCCGCGCGCAGACUCACCUUAAAACAAUCGGCAGCCGGCGUAUUGAUUUCGGAGCGCAGUACAUCUCGCGCUUUACACUCAUAACGACGACGUCCAAAAGUACAUUUUUACAUUCUUGACCUCGGAUCAGGUAGGGAUACCCGCUGAACUUAAGCA
This 540-nucleotide ribosomal RNA is filed under the name uncultured fungus. RNAcentral's name for it is "eukaryotic LSU rRNA". The stretch from base 186 to 339 matches the Rfam family "5.8S ribosomal RNA". Lineage: Eukaryota; Fungi. The record is from RNAcentral.